AAUUUCCUCACCUGGCCUUUCACCUCAUUCCAGCAAUGUGAGAACAUCUGCAUGUCAGACACCAUUUUAAACUGGGCUAAGUAUGUCUUUGUAACUGGAUGACCAUUUUAAGCCUGCCUGAACAAAGCUGCUGUAUCUGUUGCUCUUCAACAAGUAUGCUGAGUGAGUAAGUGCUAUUUUUAAUUUUUACAAGACUGUUUGCGUGGUUAUUUUUUUAUGUUGGAGGGACAGGGGAAAUGCCAGAAAAAAUUAGUCUGCCUUAAAGCAUCCUGGAUUACUUAAACCAAAAGGCUAAAACCAGCCUAUCAAAGCUUCCCUUUUAAAUGGCGAAGGGAUGCACUCUGCUGAACACACAAACAUGAGGAAGGAAGGAUAAUACCUAGUAUAUCCUCUCCUAGCAUCUAGCAAGAAAGAGUGUUCCCCAAACACUUCUCCCCCUCUCCAAAUUAUCCUCACAACAAUUCUGUGAGGUAGCUUAGGCUGAGAGACAGUGAGUGGCCCAAAGUCACCCAGUGGGAUUCAUGGCUGAGCAGGGAUUUGAACCCAAGUCUCUCCAGCACUCUAAUCAAUACUCCACACUGGCUGUAUAUCCUAAAGACACUGCAGUCUCCACUGACCUUCAUUCCAGGAAAACCAAACCUUAGAAAAAGCACAGGAAGUCAGGGAGUCUCUUGCCGCUCAGAGAUUUGGGUGCAAGCAGCCAUUGGGAAGGGCCAUAGCUCAGUGGUAGAGCAUCUGCUUUCCAUGCAGAAGGUCCUAGGUUCAAACCCUGGCAUCGCCGGGUAGGGCAGAGAGAGACCCCUGCCUGAUACUCUGCAGAACCAUCUGCCAGUCACUGUAGACAAUACUGAACCAAUGGUCUGACUGAGGUAUAGGGCAGCUUCCUAUGUUCCUAAUGCAUAGUAUUCAGCACCAUCAAUGUGCAUUGCCACAAGGUUCUGGGUUUAGUCUGAGAGACAAGGGAAGGAUGUUUAUUGCUUUACACGAAUCAGCUCUUUAGAUCCAUUGUUGAAAUGCUGAGCUUCUGAAAAGAUGCGAGGUGCACACAUUCAUUCACAACAUUCUUAAGUGUGGAAAACAUGCAUUCCUUCAUGCAAUUAUGGCGACAGAAAGCAACGUUUUAAAUACUACAUCAGAAGAAUCUUUAUUUGAAUCAGCCACUAGCCAUAGCAAUAAAAUGUACUGAAGAUAGAGAUGAAAACUUAACUACGCAAAAUACAUUCUGGAGGUUUACAUCAAUAAUCAAACAACAGAUCUUAUUCUAAUUGCCCCUGCUAUUUUUUCCCCAGUUUUUGCUGUCACUUGAUUAUCUUGAUCUGCUAGAAGAAAGAACACAGUAGCACGUGGACAUAACCAGUUUUCCAGCGGAAUAUUUUGAAAUUGACCCUCAAGUACAGCUGAAGGCAGCAUAUUUAAUCUUGUGUAGGUGAAAGCGCAUCUUUAUUUUGGAAUUGUUAAAUUUUUCAAAUAGAGUGCCAACAUGUCAAAAUGACUAGGUGGAAAAUAAUCAUAUCAUACAGAAAGUCACAAUAUAAAAUAGUGGUAUGUAAGUAGGGAGUUCUCCACCCCUUUGUGAGACAAAAGUACCUGAAAUUCCACUCCAGGGUUCACUGGAGUCUCUUAGGAGCUGAUCCUUUACCAUGGUGUCAAUCAUCUUUCAUAUUGAUAGGUUUCAAGUCUAUAUGUGGCAUGUGUGAACAGCAUGAGAUCUUGUUUUCAAGUGUUUGGCUUCAAAUAGAUUUAAAGCAUUAGGCCUGAAAGUAUGCAUGCUUUGUUUUGUGGGGGAGAGUACAGUGGUACCUCAGGUUAAGUACUUAAUUCGUUCCGGAGGUUCGUUCUUAACCUGAAACUGUUCUUAACCUGAAGUACCACUUUAGCUAAUGGGGCCUCCUGCUGCUGCCACGCCGCUGAAGCAUGAUUUCUGUUCUUAUCCUGAAGCAAAGUUCUUAACCUGAAGCACUAUUUCUGGGUACACAGCCAGAGAAAUCCGGAAAAAAAUGUUUCCUGUUCUCCAGCAUUGCACAGAGAAAUGCACAGAGAAAUCUGGAAAGAUCAGCUUCAUCAUGACGAAAAUUUCCUGUUCUCUGUGGGAAAUGAAACUUUAGACUCUACUAAAAUUCUUCUGUGUAAGAAGCAUGCUAUCAAGGCAGGGAAGCUCGCCGCCUCCCCAGCUUCCGACAGAUGAGGUGUUUUAGAUCCAAGACAAAAGCCCUUGCCAUCUUUCCUGGGCUUGGGGAUCAGAACCAGGCUCACACAUGGGGCAGCGAUCUGGAAACGCUUGGCCACAGAAAUGUGCUUGGGUGCAAGCCAGCCUCAGCCCUAGGCAAAUUCCCACCAUGUGCAAAGAUUCCUAGCCAAAACUGCAAUCUGUGCGAAGUGAGGAAGUAUGAAGUGAUGAGCCAUUCCUGGGUCAGAGAGAACACGGACAAGGGAACAUGCAAAAACACCCUCCCCGGCUAAUUCAUUCCUUUAUUUUUGUUUCCACUUGAGGAAGGUUUUGUUCACUUUCUGUUGGUUUCGUGACUGUAGCAAUUUACAAACUUUCUGCCAAGAAGCCCUGGUGAUCAGUGAAAGCAUAUCAGGAAUUCUUCAUGAGAUAAUUAGGAGCAACGGACAGACAUUUCUCAUGGAAUGCACACAUACAUGUGUGUGCAUGCAGAUGUAUUCUAGGGCAAGUUUACACAGGACAAUGGUUAUGCCCCAGAGGCCUGUCAGGUACCUUGAGUGGGUGGUCUGAAUAAUACUGGGCUCAAAAUCAACCAGGAAUUACAACUUCAGAAAUCCAAUGCAUUGUGUUCACCAAGUGCAUAUUUACCGCCCCCAUACACCCCCCCCCAAAAAAAAUAUCAAUUGACAACAACAAUAGCAGCCAAGGCAAAACUAAAAAACCUACAUUGCUGGCUGGAGAGUACUGAUUUGUUUCUCUCUCUUUUUGCCAAUUAUUUUGAUAAAAAUUCCAAAUUAUUACAAAUUGUUGCCAAAUUAAUACAAUUUAAUACAAUUUUCCAAAACCAGUUUCCUACUACUGUCCUUACAAGAUAAAUUUGUUUCUUCCGUCUGUGUGUCCCAGCUGUUGGGAACAACAACAAAAUGACAUUUCUCUCCCAAAUAAGGCUACUGAGAUGAAGAAACCAAGCCCAGAAUGGGAUUUUGCAUGAAAGGACCGUGAGCUCAGUUCAUAGCUGGUACUGGAAACAAAUACAUUCCUGGCUCUGAAUGUAUGCAUGAGCUACCCUGCUCUUUAAUUCCAAGUGGUUCCUGGUGUAGGUUCAUUCCAAAUGUGUUCUAGAUAUUGGUAGAUCUUUUGGUCAUGAUGAAAAACAAAGUACUGUAGAUCUAACAAGUCUGAAAUCAGCCAGCUCCUGUUAAGAACAUAAGAAGACCCCUGCUGGGUCAGGCCCAAGAGGGAGGCCCAUCUAGUCUAGCACUCUAUUCCCACAGUGGCCAACCAGAUGCCUGAGGGAAACCAGCAAGCAGAACUGAAGCCUUUCAUAGGACAGAGGCUCCUCCCCUCCCCAGAUGCUGCUUCUAGGGGUGAAGUUAAGGCCUCACUCAUUUCCUCAAUCACAUAAUACCAGCGUACUGGAAGCAAUUAUUCUUCAACAUCAACUUUGUUGGACUGGUCAUGUUGUGUGGAUGCCUGAUUAUCGUCUUCCAAAGCAACUACAGUGGUGCCUCACAAGACGAAAUUAAUUCGUUCCGCGAGUUUUGUUGUCUUGCGAUUUUUUCGUCUUGCGAAGCACGGUGUCGGGAAAGUUUUGGAAAAGCUUCAAAAAUCACCAAAGUCUUUAAAAACCUCAAAAAAGGCUACCACACCGUGUUCUAUGAGUUGCUCCUCGAAGUCAAGUCGCAACUGUAUUAAUGGUGUUAAGAAAUAGGAAACAAACUUGCAAGACGUUUCCAUCUUGCGAAGCAAGCCCAUAGCGAAAAUCGUCUUGCGAAGCAGCUCAAAAAACAAAAAACCCUUUCGUCUAGCGAGUUUUUUGUCUUGCGAGGCAUUCGUCUUGCCAGGUACCACUGUACUCUUUUUCCAACUUAAGAAUGGAAAGUGUAAUGCCGGUGGACAACAAAAGAGGUUCAAAGAUGCUCUCAAGGCAAAUCUAAAAAAAAUGUAGUAUAACUGGGAAACACUGGCCUGCAAGCACUCCAAUUGAAGAACAGCCUUUCCCAAAGGUGCCAUGGGCUUUGAAGAUGCUCGAACUCAGGAGAAAAGGGAAAAACGUGCUAAGAGGAAGGCACGUCUGGCAAAUCCUCACCAUGAUCAAUUCCUACCCGGAAACCUAUGUCCUCGCUGUGGAAGGACAUGUGGAUCCAGAACUGGCCUCCACAGCCACUUACGGACUCAUUGUUAAAACCAUGUUUAUGGAAGACAAUCUUACUUGGCUACGAGUGAUUGCCAAAGUAGAAGAUUCAUUCAUUCAUUCAUUCAUUCAUUCAUAAGAUUUCUUCCUUACCCUUCACCAUAGGGUCCCAGGGUGGGUUACAGUAGCAUAGUAUGCAAUGAAAAAACCAGAUAAAAAAAUUCAGCUGCAAAGCAAGUACAACCAUUCUAUAUGGAACAGAAGAUUAUACAUUCAAUAAAACAAAUUUGUCAAAGGCCAGGAGCUAUGAUGCAAUAGUCUCUUAACAAUCUCUUCUGCUUGGUAAGUACUAAUACAAGAGCCCUCCUCAUAGAAAUGUGAACUUCAGAACACAUCCCAGGAUACUCUCCAAUGUGUGUGGCUUCCCUCCAUGGUACACUUGCAUUGCAGUAGAGCUGGUAGGCCAGACACUGGUCUUCCUGCUCAGUUGGCCACUUGAGUGGGUGGGUGGUGCCACACACCUGUCCAUCACCUAACAUCACCCUAGCAGCAGGUGGCCCUUCUUUUUUCCUUUGUAGUGCAGCUUGAGCACAGCUGAUCCCAAAGAGCAUCCUGUCUCUGUCGAUAAGCUGAUUGAAAGUGACAGCAAGUCUCCCCUGCUAAAGAGUGUUAAGGCUCAUGAUUGUUCAUUGGCAGCUGUGCCUCUACCUGCCCAACAUCUGAAGUCACUUAUUAUGUCAGGUGUAGAGUAGAAGGUGGGAUCUGGUUUGGGGAAAAUGGUUCACAGGCCAAAUUGGGACCCAUGUCUGGCCUGAUUAAGCCCAAAGGCCAGAUGUUCCCCACAUACUGUAUAACACACUGCAGUAAUCAAACCAAUAGGAUACUGGAGCACAGAUGAUCUUCUGUGCCACAGAGAUCCCAAGAGCCUCAAGUGAUAGCAAUGGAACCAGAAGUACCCUCAAGCUGCACAUCUGCUUCUUCCAAGGGAGUGUAACCCCAUCAAGAGCAGGAAACCUCCCACCCAUCUGGUCUGGGGAACCAGCCACUCACAGUGGCUCAGUCUUAUCUGGACUGAGCUUCAGUUUGUUGGCUCUCAUCGUCUAUUACUGAGGCAAGUCCAGCACAUCCAUUGCCACACCUGCAGAUGUAAAGGAGGAGAGCUGUGUGUCCUCAGCAUAUUGCCGAUAACAUACUCCAAAACUCUGGAUGAACCCACUCAGUAGUUUCAUGUAGAUGUUGAACAGCAUAGGGGAUACAACACAAAGGAACCCCACACUGAAGGCUCCAGGGGGGGUGAAGAGCACACCCCAAGCAUCACCCUCUGGAAACGACCAUCCAAUGCAAUGCCACCCACCUGCAACUCAGACAGUCGUUCCAGAAGGGUACUAUGGUCGAUGGUAUCAAAAGUUAUUGAGAGGUCAAGGAGAAUUAACAGGGGUGUAUUUUCCCUGUCUCUCUCCCAACAGAGGUCAAGCAAGGCAGGUUCUGUGCCAAAACCUGGACCUAAAUGCCACCAAUACCCUGACCAUUGUGUCCUCCACAACCAUGGGCAGGAAAAGGGUGGAUAUGGAUGGAGAUGGAUGCCAAUUACCUUGAACACCAGUACCCUUCCCUGAAUUCAGGGUAUUCCCCCUGGGCUUCAUUUCCAAAGGGGAAGGGGUUCCAUAAACUGCUACCUGCUCUGCCUCCAUUCUAUGCUGACCAACUAGGCACACUGUAUGAAUGCUAAGGAAGCCCUUCCCCAGUCAUGUCCUCACAACUACCACCCAGAUACCCGUGGGAAACCUACCAGCAGGACCUGAGCACAAGAGUGUUCUGCCCUCCUGCAGUUUCCAGCAAUGGGUGGGUAUUCAGAAUCAUUACUGCCUCUCAACAGUGAAGACAGAACAUAGGAUAGUGGCCAUUGAUAGCCUUAUCUCCCACCCCCGGUGAAUUUUAUCCAAAUCUCUUCUAAAGUCAUCCAAGUUGGUGGCCAUCACUGCCUCCUGUGGGAGUAAAUGCCAUCGUUUAAGUUAGUUAAACUAAGUUUGCUUACCAUAGUUUAAUUAAGUUGAACUUAGUUCUCCAUAGUUAAUGCCCUCUUGGCUUUUAGAUAUCAAGAAGGUUCUACAACUGCAGCCUCACCUCUCUCCCAUCUCCCACUAGGCAUCAGGAGUUGACCUCCUUAGAACCAACUUCCCUGGCAUUGGAGGUGUGUCUUCUAGAGACCCAGGUCAUGCCACCUUCUGCCAGUGCUGGGCUUGUUGCCUCGGCAACCAUGGCAGUGGUACCACUCUUCAGUGGUCAUGGCCAUCCUUCCUGGGAUUUUGUAAAAUUAUUAUUUAUUCAGUUUACGAGUCACCUAAUUAAAGCAAAUAUAUAUUCUCCAGGCAACACACACAGUAAAACAGUCAAAAUUAAAACAAGCCACACAAAAACUCAAUAAAACCGUAAAUCAAUGCAACCAACCCAGCAGCUGAUAAAAGUCAGCCGUAAAUCCAGGCACAAAUCAAAAGUCCAGUAACCAAUCCAGCAAAUUGUAUCCAUGCCUGAUUGCUGAGAUCUUGGGAGGGAGUCUCAGUUCAUGGAUCCCCAUGGCUCAGCUUCACAGCUUAUCUCCACUGGGAGCUGUGUGUUCCGUACUGUGGGUCUGACUCCUGAGUUUUCGGGAGAAGAGCAGGUUACAGAAUGUACUAAAUUGCUUAAAAUCAAAGCUCGUUUUUAGUAGGUUUUUCAUUUAAUUUGGUUUUUUCUUUUAUCCUACUCUUCAGCCAAAAAGUGGGGGAAAGGCUCUUGGAAUAGCUUACAAAUCCCAAUCUGAAAAGACAAAACACAAAAGGAAAAUGGAUUGGGAGGGAGAAGGAAAUAAGUAAACACACUGUAUUAGAUACCAACUGUGCAGAAUUCUCCUGGGCUGGCAAGAGUUAAAAUGAGGAAAACACAGGCUGCUUCACUCAGAAAGCCAUUUUCUUAAUUAUUUUAGUUUAACACUCAAGUCAGGGUGUGCAGAGGUGGGAAUUCAUGUGUAAUCUAAAACCCCCUGACUUGGGGACAGCAUCAGGCUGAGAAAACAUUAGUGGUACGAUUUCCAUUACAUUAAAAAUUAUUCCUAUUAGGCCAGCCCUGUGGGCAUUACAUUCUGUCCGCUCCCUUCCACUGUUACAUCCGUUGAUGUCAUUAUCAUGCUUUAGGAGUAUAACGUUACCAUUUUAUCACAGAAACCUUAAACACUUACAUCCAAAUCACCGAAUCGAGUUAUUACCCGAGAUGACCAAAUCUCAGUCUAUUAUCAUUUGAUUUUUUUCCAUUUAAAGAACAGUGACAAACACCGGCGACUCCAUUUUAUUUAACAUGAGCAGGAGACGGAUGUGGUUUAGAGAUGCAUAAAGCUUGCAAAGGUGUGAGACAGUGGGCUGUAUCAAGCUGAGCAUACCCAUGAGCAUACCCAUGGAAAUCAAUGGACAAGACUAACUUGAGCCCAUGGAUUUCAAUGGGUCUGCUCUGAGCACGAUUUGGUUAGAUGCAAUGUUGUGAUUUCUGUUAAGGAUGUAGAUGUGCCAGAAUUCACUUAAAGCAGCAAUAAGAGAUGUGCAUUCAUACACAUCUUGCUGGGCACAUCAACAAUUGGGGUUGAGAUAUUCCCCCCUCCAAAAAAAAAAGGAUGUAUUGCUUUAAAAAAAUGUUAUCAAGUGCUUCCUUGACUGCUGGAGGAUGUCAGUCCUCCUGGAAAGGCCAUGGCUCAGUGGAAGAGCAUCUGGUUUGCAUGUGUAAGAUCCCAGAUUCAAUGUCUGGCAUCUCCUUUUAGGGCUAGGAAUGCCCCCUGCCUUAAACCCUGGAGAAUUUCUGGGUUCUCCACUGUAGACCAGGGAUAGAAAGGGGAAACUGUUGCCCUCCAGAAUUGGAUUCCAACUCCCAUCAGCCUCAGCCUGCAUGAUCAAUGGUCAGGGAUGAUGGGAGUUGAAGGCUAAACACAUCUGGAGGGUCACAAAUCUCCCAUCCCUGGUGCAGACGAUACGGAGCUAGAUGGACCAAUGGUUUGACUUGGUGUGGGGUGAGUAAGAAGCAAAAUGAUAGAGGUUUAUAAAACUAUGCAUGGCAUGGAGAAAGUGGCUAGAGAAAAAUUAUUCUCCUUCUCUCUUAGCAACAGAACAGCCCAUGAAGUUGAAUCAAAAACACCACACAAUUAAACUAUUGAACUCACUCCCAUGGCAGGCAGUGCUGGUCACCAACUUGGAUGGCUUCCAAAGAAGACAGGACAAUGCAUGGAGGAGGAGGCUAUCAGUGGUCACCAGCCAUGAUGGAUAUGCUCUGUCUCCACAGUUGGAGGCAGCAGUGCUUCUGAAUACCAGUUGUUGGAAACGAAGUUUGUUCUGGGUAUAAGCUUUCGUGUGCAUGGUAUCUGAAGAAGUUUGCAUGCACACGAAAUCUUAUACCCAGAACAAACUUAGUUGGUCUCUAAGGUGCUACUGGACAAUUUUUUAAUUUUUAUUUAUUUCAUUUAAGAAUAUUUAUUCUAUAUUUGAGACCUUAAAAUUCUUAUAACAACCCCCGUUUGAGGCUAUAAUUUUAUUUAAAAUUGUUGCCCCAUCCAACAACCUGAUGUCCACUCUUCCCUGAUGUUAUAACUGGAUGUGUUUAUGUAACCCUGAAGAGACUUGCAUGUCAGGCCUCUUAAGGCUGUUUGUAAGUGUAGCAGUGCCCAUAGCUGGAUAUAGGAUGCUGUAUCAUAUAAAAUAAUCUUGUUUUGUUUGGUUGUUGAAUUAUUUGUGACAUUCUAACACUUUGUGAAGGGACGUGGGUGGUGCUGUGGGUAAAACCUCAGUGCCUAGGACUUGCCGAUCGUAUGGUCAGCGGUUCGAAUCCCCGCAGCGGGGUGAGCUCCCGUCUUUCGGUCCCAGCUCCUGCCCCCUAGCAGUUCGAAAGCACCCCUAAGUGCAAGUAGAUAAAUAGGUACCGCUUUAUAGCAGGAAGGUAAACGGCGUUUCCGUGUGCUGCGCUGGUGCUGGCUCGCCAGAACAGCUUCGUCACGCUGGCCACGUGACCCGGAAGUGUCUCUGGACAGCGCUGGCCCCCGGCCUCUUAAGUGAGAUGGGCGCACAACCCUAGAGUCGGACACGACUGGCCCGUACAGGCAGGGGUACCUUUACUUAACACUUUGUGAGAAGCCUUCUCUCCCUUUUUACUUUAAAAAUGAGGGUUUACGAUCUACACUUAGCAGGAAGGUCCAUUUAAAAUGAAAUACGUAGUUGUUUUGCUUCUGCUUUUUUUGUGUUCUUGGGUAUCAAAGAUAGCCUCCUGGCCCUGCUCCUCCAGUAUGCCACAGCAACAUUCCCCAGUAUGAAUCUCUGCUUUCGUUGACCAUAAGCAAUAUCCCACAUGGCUAGGUUGCCCAUCUUUAGGGAUUUACUAUGGCUUUGGUCUUGCACUCAAGGGGUGAGUUGCUCUUCUUAGAGGUUCACCUAUCCUGUUUGAAGGGAAAGAUGGUCAGGACGCAGGCCUGUUAUAGCUUCUGGGGUUGAGGAGGUAUGUGAGCCUCACCUGUCCUGAGUCUACUCCAGCUGAGGAAUCACACAACUCCUCCCCAAGCUAGUGAGCCCCACCUGGGCUGUGGGUCCUUGCCUUCCUUUGCUCCAAACGGACAGCUGUUAGUUCUGGGAUCCUGCUGAUUGUGGAAAAGCAGUGCUAGAACUGGUCCCUGAAAGAGCUUGCAAGAUCUCUCCCAAAUCUCAAGAGAUAUUUUGCUCUCCUAGACAUCUCUCAACAAACCUGAACAAAAGUGUGCAGGAACCUUUAAAGACUUUCGACUGCAUCAGACCAACACGGCUGCCUACCUGAAUCUAUUUAUAAAUGCACACAUAUCUAAAUAUAUAAACCACAUGUCUGAAAUAGUACAGGAGAGCAAUCCUGAAGCCAUUCUGACUCUCCCGAUGACUUCAAAUAUUCCUCUGCAGUAAGGGAGGCAAAUGGGGAAAGCCUUCCCAUGGUCUUUUCACUUACAAAUGCUGUCUUAAGGGCAUAGUUGUGUAUGAAUAUACAACUGGCCAGGACGCAGGCCUCCUAUGAUGCAUGUAUGAUGAUUUUCGGGUGGUCUUUGGCUAAGGGGGCUCGGCAAUGUCAAAGUCUUUAAAGGUUCCUGCACACUUUUGUUCAGGGUCUCUCCCUCCUUGGAAGGAUGAGAGGGAACUCUGUUGCAACAGAAAAAUAAAUACCUGCCUUGCUUUCUGCUGUAUCCUGUCUCCAUCCAUUCUUCUCUGACCGAUCAUGGACUUAGGGAACUCAGAGUCCCAUUGGGGAGUUGGGCAGCAAAAGCCAAACUAUUUUUUACAUCACUACCACUACAGCAAACUUGAAAUGUUUCUCUCCUACUGCAAUUCCAACACCUCUCCUUUAAAAAAAAAUAAAAAAAUCCUGUGAUCAAGUCCUUAUUUCAUUGCAACAAAAUGGUCUCCUCUUCUAGAAUUCCUCAUUGUGUUGGGUUCACUGGAGUCCACACACCAUCUCAGAAAGGUGGCAAAUGAACCAAUCAUGUUCUGGCACGUGCACAGAGUCUCCCUAGCAACAAAGAUGGCAGCUUUGUAACAGCAGCAGCUGCUUAAUCGGGGAGUGGGGGGGGGGGAUACAUGCUCUCAUCUGAAGAAUAAUGCAUGAUGGAGCCCUAUUCAUUACCUGUUUGCAAAGAGUAAUACACAAAUGCGCAAUGAAGUCAGACAUUUUACAGGCAUAAGUUAAGAAGUUUUUGGAAGUGUGUGGGGGGGACUUUUAAUAGUAAUGCCUCAUCUCUAAAUUGCCACAGUCCCAUCUCUCGCAGUUUGAGGUUGGGAAGAAAUGGUUCCUUUCUGCAUGUAGAAUGGCAGGGGAAAAACACCUCAACCCCUAUGUGUUAGAUAACAGUGCUUCCGCCAGGAACUUGUUCAAUGAAAAAAGUGGCACAUUUUGAAUUUUGCACUGUGAAGUAGCCCUAUUAAUAGGUAACAAAGGAGAGCCCUGCAAGAUCAGACCAAAGGCCCAUUUAGUCCAAUAUUCUGUUCUCAAAGUGACCAAGCAGAUGACUCUGGAAAGCCUGCAAGUGGGACAUGAGUGGAGCAGCAAUUCUCCCCACUAGUGACUCCCAGCCGCCAACAUUCCAAGGAAAUCCUGUGUCCUAAGUCCAUGGGAGUUGUUGUAGUUUAUAAGAACAUAAGAAGAGCCUGCUGGAUGAGGCCAAAGACCCAUCUAGACCAGCAUUCUGUUCUGGGGGCAGAUCUAUACUAUGAAACUAAUGAAGCUUAAGCUUCAGGAUCCCUAAUCUCAGAGGUGCCCCAGGAGCAACUUUAGUCCAUGUUGCAUUACAAAAAUGGGUCAAAUUUAGUUUUGACUAAAGUGCAAGCAUAAGGGACGUGGGUGGCGCUGUGGGUUAAGCCACAGAGCCUAGGACUUGCCAAUCAGAAAGUCGGCAGUUCAAAUCCCCACGACGGGGUGAGCUCCUGUUGCUCUGUCCCUGCUCCUGCCAACCUAGCAGUUCAAAAGCCCAUCAAAGUGCAAGUAGAUAAAUAGGUACCACUCCAGCGGGAAGGUAAACGGCAUUUCCGUGUGUUGCUCUGGUUCGCCAGAAGUGGCUUAGUCAUGCUGGCCACAUGACCCGGAAGCUGUACAUCGGCUCCCUCGGCCAAUAAAGCGAGAUGAGCUCCGCAACCCGAGAGUCGGUCACGACAGGACCUAACGGUCAGGGGUCCCUUUACCUUUUAAAGUGCAAGCAUAAGCAAUCGUCUCUAAUAUAAUGCUUUUGUGUCUGCUGUUUUCAGGAAUAUGUUCAAUUUUACACACACUUUCCCCACACUUCCACCAUGAUGCAUGACGUCGUGUGCAUUUAUCACUUUUGGUUCCUCUUCAUUUCCCACCCUUAAGUUCAAUUCUCCAAAUUGUCAGUUUGCUUUUUUAAAAAAAAUGUCCUCAUGAAAAUUUAUUAGCAUUUCAGUGCAAAUUUCUCCACAUAUACACAUUUCCAUAUGCAAUUUGGCCUAAUAUAUCCAGUCCCCUCCCCCAAUUUGAGUCUAUGUCAUUUUUGCUAAUAUAUUCAUUUUUAUGCACACUGUUCCCUAAGACAUGCAUUUUUUUCUCCUAAAGGUUGGUUGGAGAAGCGCAGCACAAAAUUUCAGUAAGAGUGGAUCUGGAAGGACAGCUGUGCUUUGGUUCCCCAGAAAGUUUGACAUUGCUAACAUUUGGUGCUUAAAAUCCAAUUUCUCCUUCAUCCAGACUUGGAACUGCCCAUCAACAGCACUUGGAGAGCAGACUGAAAGGCCCACAGGUCAGUUGGUCACAGCCUUCCUUAGUAUGGCGAGGAGUCUUGCAUUUCUAUCCUGAUGAUCACAAUUAUUUCUAAAUGUGCAUCUAUACAUAUAAAUUAGC
Molecule: non-coding RNA, 12665 nt
Organism: Podarcis lilfordi (Lilford's wall lizard)
Lineage: Eukaryota; Metazoa; Chordata; Lepidosauria; Squamata; Lacertidae
Source: the annotation of a GenBank genome assembly